This 290-nucleotide long non-coding RNA is filed under the name Zostera marina. Its description in RNAcentral is "long non-coding RNA (ZMAR_LNC004232)". The record is from RNAcentral. Lineage: Eukaryota; Viridiplantae; Streptophyta; Magnoliopsida; Alismatales; Zosteraceae.
CUCAUCCAAUUGCUGAAUCUCUAAUGGUAGAUAGUAAUUUCAUUGUUAAAUUUAAUUAAAAAAACUAUUAACUGUUUUAUUUUAUAUUUUUUGAUUUAGGAAAUUUAUAAAAGUAAAAGACUUGCUAGCAUGCGAGAACACGGUCUUGAAAUUCCUAUGUCUCAAAGUACAGAGGGAUCUACAACAGAGUCACAACCGAUGUACGUUGGCGAAGAUGACCAAGAGUGGAUGAAAAUAUUUAAUCAUAAAAAAGGCCGUGUUCAAGGAUUUGGAAAAAUUCAACCAUGUCU